Molecule: long non-coding RNA, 269 nt
Filed under: Physcomitrium patens
Lineage: Eukaryota; Viridiplantae; Streptophyta; Bryopsida; Funariales; Funariaceae
Description: long non-coding RNA (PPAT_LNC012066)
Source: RNAcentral
AUAGCAGCGCUAGCAGAUGAAUUUAUAGACUCUUUGAUAUUGAUAGGAAUAGAUGUAGAUAUUUUGAUCAACUUUCAUAAGUUUUCUUGCAUUAUGAUCAUUUAAAUUCUAUAACUCUAUAGCAUGCAGUUAGAUAUUCCUUUUAAUUUCAUAAAAUUAGUAAAAUUUGAUACAAGUAUAUCUAUAACUCUAUAGCAUGCAUUUAGAUAUUCCUUUUAAUUUCAUAAAAUUAGUAAAAUUUGAUACAAGUAUAUCUAUAAUUCUAUACU